Molecule: non-coding RNA, 1998 nt
Organism: Paramisgurnus dabryanus
Lineage: Eukaryota; Metazoa; Chordata; Actinopteri; Cypriniformes; Cobitidae
Source: RefSeq, a predicted model, not a curated record
UUAAAGAGCACCUAUUAUGGGAUACACGUUUUUAAACAUCCUUUUGUGUGUAAGUGUGCAUUAGUACAUGCUAACGAUAUUCAAAAAGUACAUACCUCAAAGAAAACGAUGACGCGAGUUAUCGUCUCUAACGUUCGAGGACUACAAAAAACACUCGGAUUGUAGGCAACAGUUUACUUCCUGGGAUUAGUGACGUAGAUAAGACCAACAUUAUCAUAGUUCAGCCCUCUCUGCUUUGCUUGGGUACGCCCUCAAAGACGAGGGUGGGGAGCGCCGAGUCAGAAGAGAGCUAAAAUGGCGGAGGUUGUGAGUCCCUGCUUUUACUCUGUUUGCAAACUCUUGUUUCAUCGUUUAAGCGAUUAAAUCUCUCGAGUAGACACUGUCUCUUUAGAUGCGAGGGCAAAAUAGCACAUUAUGGACUUCCACAGAGGACAUCAUGUUUAAUACGGUUCCGGAAAAAUCCAGUCAGAAGUUGUUCACGGAGUUUUCACAAUAACUGCUUCUCAUGAACCGAAGCUGGAUUUGCGCGACGUCUCCUCUUGAAAGUUGGAUUACUGUGCACUUCUGGAUCACAGACUAUUCGCAGCUGGACACAUCCUUCUACACUGUAUGCAAACAUGCAACAUCAUUACACACAGUAUAAGGAGUCAGACUGGCAUAUGAGGAGCAAAGGAACCCAGGCAGUAGCAUCGUUUCACAAUGUUUCCAUCAUCAUCAUCAGUGGAUGCCUUUGCUGUCCGUAGCCUGAGAUUUCAGAUUUGCAGCAAAAAAAAUUGAUUUUCUCAUUUAUUGGAAUGCUGUGCAGGUAUUUGUACCUUGCAGCCAUCCAUUACAAUGUCACCAAGCCCUAACAAAAGCAGGAGAGGGAAAGUACAAGGCUAUGUUCCCAAAACACAAAUGACAUACCUUAUGUGGAGGAUGUGAUCAGGCUUGUGUUUGAUGAGGUAUUUGAAGAUAAGCUGAAGGAAACCCCGAUUCCAAUGGACCUGGCAUCACAGUUUGAGAGACCUUCAAAGGAGGACGUGAUUGCAUGCCAUCUUCAGUGCAGGGGUCGUCGAAAGCCAAAAUUGUGACCGAUCUGAUCAGGAAGCUCCAAGCGUAUCUGGAGAACAACACACGACAGGAUGAUAACCUUAUAGUGUCGUCUUAGAUAGCACCAGCUGACAAAGCUUUGAUAUGCCAUUUAUCUGAAUAGAUAGCUGUAAGAAAUGAAUUGAACAAUUUUUGAAACAAGAGCACAAUAUGGUUACUAAAGUAUGUUUAUUUGUAUAUUGUUUAACAUUUAAAUAUAUAUUUGUAAUAAAUAAAAAAAACUUUUGACUGACUAUUAUAUUUUCUUUAAAGUUGCAUCUUUUGUUCUUUUGGGUACUUUGUUACUAUAAUAAUACUUUAGUGUUAUUGGUUUAAAAAUGAAAUAAAACUUACUCUAGUCCUGCACCUCAAAGGCUUAUAGUCGGUACAAUAAAUGUUCUGUGUGUAGGGAUUUAGACAAUUUGUGCAAAACCUGGAUGAUGAAUCACGCAGGUAAGAGGCCCUGGAACAUGUUGCAUUCUCCUUAAAACCUAAUAAGUAAAAACAUAGCACUUAUAAGUAAGCAGUUUUUCAUAAUAAACUUUACCAUAGUGAAAUAAUGUAGAACAUUCAUUUCAAUUAAUACUUUCUUUGUGCUACAUUUGGUGUUUCCAUAUAGUUUGCACAGUAAUAUAGUAUGUAACAGUCUUUUAUAAUAAAGUUUACAAUAGUAAAAUAAUGUUAAUAAGUGAAAUAGUUUUAUAAUCAUUUCAACAAAUACUUUUUAUGUGCUACAUUUGGUGUUUCCAUAUAGUUUGCACAGUAAUAUAGUAUGUAAGCGGUCUUUUAUAAUAAAGUUUACUAUAGUAAAAUAAUGUUAAUAAGUGAAAUAGUUUUAUAAUCAUUUUUAAAUAAAACCUUCUAUGUGCUACAUUUGGUGUUUCCAUAUAGUUUGCAAAGUAAUGUAGUACGUUAUAAUUACCUUUU